RNAcentral lists this ribosomal RNA (301 nucleotides) under uncultured bacterium. RNAcentral's name for it is "partial 16S ribosomal RNA". It matches the Rfam family "Bacterial small subunit ribosomal RNA", at positions 509 to 807 of the family's 1533-position model. The record is from RNAcentral.
CAGCAGCCGCGGUAAUACGAAGGGUGCAAGCGUUACUCGGAAUUACUGGGCGUAAAGCGUGCGUAGGUGGUGGUUUAAGUCCGUUGUGAAAGCCCUGGGCUCAACCUGGGAAUUGCAGUGGAUACUGGGUCACUAGAGUGUGGUAGAGGAUAGUGGAAUUUCCGGUGUAGCAGUGAAAUGCGUAGAGAUCGGAAGGAACAUCUGUGGCGAAGGCGACUAUCUGGGCCAACACUGACACUGAGGCACGAAAGCGUGGGGAGCAGACAGGAUUAGAUACCCCCGUAGUCCCUGUCUCUUAUAC